AAAUUACCCACUCCUAGCUCGGGGAGGUAGUGACGAAAAAUAACAAUACGGGACUCUUACGAGGCCCCGUAAUUGGAAUGAGUACACUUUAAAUCCUUUAACGAGGAUCUAUUGGAGGGCAAGUCUGGUGCCAGCAGCCGCGGUAAUUCCAGCUCCAAUAGCGUAUAUUAAAGUUGUUGCAGUUAAAAAGCUCGUAGUUGGAUCUCGGGAGCGGUCCGGCGGUCCUCCGCAAGGAGGUUUCACUGCCGCGUCGCCGCUCUCACCUCACCGGCUCUGCCCGGGUGCUCUUCGUUGAGUGCCCGGGUUGGCCGGAAUGUUUACUUUGAAAAAAUUAGAGUGUUCAAAGCAGGCGUUCUCGCCUGAAUAUUGGCGCAUGGAAUAAUGGAAUAGGACCUCGGUUCUAUUUUGUUGGUUUUCGGAAGUCGAGGUAAUGAUUAGUAGGGACGAUCCGGGGGCAUUCGUAUUGCACGGUUAGAGGUGAAAUUCUUGGAUCCGUGCAAGACGAACUACAGCGAAGGCGUCUGCCAAGUGCGUCUUCAUUAAUCAAGAGCGACAGUCAGAGGUUCGAAGACGAUCAGAUACCGUCGUAGUUCUGACCAUAAACGAUGCCAGCUAGGGAUGGGCGGACGUUGUAUUUCGACUCCGCCCGGACCUUUCGGGAAACCAAAGCUUUUGGGUUCCGGGGGAAGUAUGGUUGCAAAGCUGAAACUUAAAGGAAUUGACGGAAGGGCACCACCAGGAGUGGAGCCUGCGGCUUAAUUUGACUCAACACGGGGAAACUCACCCGGCCCGGACACCGUAAGGAUUGACAGAUUGAAAGCUCUUUCUUGAUUCGGUGGGUGGUGGUGCAUGGCCGUUCUUAGUUGGUGGAGCGAUUUGUCUGGUUAAUUCCGAUAACGAACGAGACUCUAGCCUGCUAAAUAGUUCGCCGAUGCCCAAAGUCGGCGCAACUUCUUAGAGGGACAAGUGGCGUUUAGCCACGCGAGAUUGAGCAAUAACAGGUCUGUGAUGCCCUUAGAUGUUCGGGGCCGCACGCGCGCUACACUGAAGGAAUCAGCUGGUCUCUCCUGGCCUGAAAAGGUCGGGCAACCCGUUGAACCUCCUUCGUGCUAGGGAUUGGGGGUUGCAAUUCUUCCCCAUGAACGAGGAAUUCCCAGUAGGCGCGAGUCAUCAGCUCGCGUCGAUUACGUACCCUGCCCUUUGUACACACCGCCCGUCGCUACUACCGAUCGGAUGGUUUAGUGAGACCCUCGGACUGGUCCCGUCGAAGUGGGCAACCGCCUCGACGCGUGUGCCGGGAAGAAGG
This is a ribosomal RNA of 1306 nucleotides. It matches the Rfam family "Eukaryotic small subunit ribosomal RNA", at positions 438 to 1758 of the family's 1831-position model.